RNAcentral lists this transfer RNA (82 nucleotides) under Anneissia japonica. Its description in RNAcentral is "tRNA-Ser". It matches the Rfam family "tRNA". Rfam says of the family: Transfer RNA (tRNA) molecules are approximately 80 nucleotides in length. Their secondary structure includes four short double-helical elements and three loops (D, anti-codon, and T loops). Further hydrogen bonds mediate the characteristic L-shaped molecular structure. tRNAs have two regions of fundamental functional importance: the anti-codon, which is responsible for specific mRNA codon recognition, and the 3' end, to which the tRNAs corresponding amino acid is attached (by aminoacyl-tRNA synthetases). tRNAs cope with the degeneracy of the genetic code in two manners: having more than one tRNA (with a specific anti-codon) for a particular amino acid; and 'wobble' base-pairing, i.e. permitting non-standard base-pairing at the 3rd anti-codon position. Lineage: Eukaryota; Metazoa; Echinodermata; Crinoidea; Comatulida; Comatulidae. The record is from RNAcentral.
GCUGUGAUGGCCGAGUGGUUAAGGCGUUGGACUCGAAAUCCAAUGGGAUCUUCCCGCGCAGGUUCAAACCCUGCUCGCAGCG